This 447-nucleotide ribosomal RNA is filed under the name uncultured bacterium. Its description in RNAcentral is "partial 16S ribosomal RNA". It matches the Rfam family "Bacterial small subunit ribosomal RNA", at positions 330 to 793 of the family's 1533-position model. The record is from RNAcentral.
CCCAGACUCCUACGGGAGGCAGCAGUAGGGAAUAUUGCGCAAUGGGGGAAACCCUGAUGCAGCGACGCCGCGUGAGUGAAGAAGUAUUUCGGUAUGUAAAGCUCUAUCAGCAGGAACGAGACAAGACGGUACCUGACUAAGAAGCCCCGGCUAACUACGUGCCAGCAGCCGCGGUAAUACGUAGGGGGCAAGCGUUAUCCGGAAUCACUGGGUGUAAAGGGGGCGCAGACGGCGAUGCAAGCCAGGAGUGAAAGCCCGGGGCCCAACCCCGGGACUGCUCUUGGAACUGCGUGGCUGGAGUGCAGGAGGGGCAGGCGGAAUUCCUGGUGUAGCGGUGAAAUGCGUAGAUAUCAGGAGGAACACCGGUGGCGAAGGCGGCCUGCUGGACUGCAGCUGACGUUGAGGCCCGAAAGCGUGGGGAGCAAACAGGAUUAGAUACCCCAGUAG